UGGGGUAUAUUGGAUAACGGGCGAAAGCCUGAUCCAGCCAUGCUGCGUGUGUGAAGAUGGUCUUCGGAUUGUAAAGCACUUUAAGUUGGGAGGAAGGGCAGUAAGCGAAUACCUUGCUGUUUUGACGCUACCGACAGAAUAAGCACUGGCUAACUCUGUGCCAGCAGCCGCGGCAAUACAGUGGGUGCAAUCGUUAAUCGGAAUUACUGGGCGUAAAGCGCGCGUAGGUGGUUCGUUAAGUUGAAUGUGAAAGCCCCGGGCUCAAGCUGGGAACUGCAUCCAAAACUGGCGAGCUAGAGUAGAGCAGAGGGUGGUGGAGUUUCCUGUGUGGCGGUGAAAGGCGUGGAUAUAGAAAGGAACACCAAUGGCGAAAGCGGCCACCUGGGCGCAUACAGACACUUAGAUACGAAAGCGUGGGGAGCAAACAGG
Molecule: ribosomal RNA, 429 nt
Filed under: Pseudomonadota bacterium
Lineage: Bacteria; Pseudomonadati; Pseudomonadota
Description: Proteobacteria bacterium partial 16S ribosomal RNA
Rfam family: Bacterial small subunit ribosomal RNA
Source: RNAcentral